Molecule: ribosomal RNA, 523 nt
Filed under: uncultured Gammaproteobacteria bacterium
Lineage: Bacteria; Pseudomonadati; Pseudomonadota; Gammaproteobacteria
Description: bacterial SSU rRNA
Rfam family: Bacterial small subunit ribosomal RNA
Source: RNAcentral
AGAGUUUGAUCCUGGCUCAGAUUGAACGCUGGCGGCAUGCUUAAUACAUGCAAGUCGAACGGUAACAGGUCUUUCGGGAUGCUGACGAGUGGCGGACGGGUGAGUAAUACAUAGGAAUCUACCUAGUAGUGGGGGACAACCUGGGGAAACUCAGGCUAAUACCGCAUAAUUCCUAAUGGGGAAAGAGGGCCUCUGCUUGCAAGCUCUCGCUAUUAGAUGAGCCUAUGUCGGAUUAGCUUGUUGGUGAGGUAAUGGCUCACCAAGGCGACGAUCUGUAGCUGGUCUGAGAGGGCGAUCAGCCACACUGGGACUGAGACACGGCCCAGACUCCUACGGGAGGCAGCAGUAGGGAAUUUUGGACAAUGGGCGAAAGCCUGAUCCAGCAAUGCCGCGUGUGUGAAGAAGGCCUGCGGGUUGUAAAGCACUUUCAGUUGGGAAGAAAAGUUUUAGAUUAAUACUCUAAAAUUUUGACGUUACCAAGAGAAGAAGCACCGGCUAACUCUGUGCCAGCAGCCGCGGUAAU